CAUUCUGUAGAAUAUUCUUAUAUUUCACUUUUACUUGUUCCCAUGUUCUAGUGGGUCCUGUUGUGGCUCUAAUGUGAAAGAGGAUAUAAUGUAAUAUAAUAUAAUAAAUUACUUACGAGUUUAAUUUGUCAGCAACUUUCUGCCAGCCCUCUCUCCUUGCUUUUGCAGCCUUUGCAGUGUUCCCUUGCGUUUUAAUUAAACUCCGAAACUCCUGAAAUCCCUCAAUCAAGAGUUCUUGCUCUGCUGCCGUAAAAUACUAAGCGCGCUCCUUCGACAUCUUCGCCGACCAAUCACAGGGUUGCCGAUCAAUGUUUCUACUAUCGAUGCGUAGCCCCUUUUAAGCCACCCAGUGAUCUCACAUUACUUCAUCCAGCUAUACUAAUCGUCAACAACAGGUGUGUUCGGAGAACCGGAUUAGCGAGCUCAAAGUUGGCGCGAUGAUUUGAUCUUGGAUGUGUCAUUUGAUCUUGGAUGUAGUAAGCGAGGUACGAAGAACGGACCCCUGAUGAUCCACCAGGACAAACUCAGCAGUGUGUGAGGAAGAGGAGGAGGAAGAGCCAGCAGCAGCCGACAGAUGGAGAGAAUAGACAGACUGUUCCCUGUUUGUGAAGGACUGCUAGAAAAGUUUAAAAGAAAUGCAAAACACUGGGCGCGAAUAACGUUACAGGUGGAUCAAUUCUUGUGAAGGAUAUGGCUGCAGGAGACAAGUCCGUUCUGAGUUACUCAGAGAACUUGCUAACCGCUUAGAUUGUACGUCUUCACCUCAGUCUGAGAGAGUAUUGCAGCAGUGUACUGGAGAUGAAGCGGUCCCUGGUCCAAGUUCUCAUCACAACCGCACAGUGUUAACGUUAGCAAAUGCUAACGCUUUCACAGCUAGCUCCACUCCACGAAACGCUGUUCAGGGUCAUAACACGAACAAGUCGUCAAGUUAAGCAGCUGAGGAAAGGGCUUAAGGAGACCAUGGUAUGGCCGCUUCUGACAGAAAGAUCAGACAUCAUUCCUCUUUUCUUACCAAGGGAAUCAGAGACUGCUCCCUGUUGUGAGCAUCUUGUGCACAACGAAAAGCCCUCAUCAAGUUUUGGACAGGAUGGGAAGUCUUGCCGAGAGAAAUGACUGUGGAAGUGGUCAACAGCAGUCUUCCAAAGUCUUCCACCUGUUUUGAAGUUCUACGUCUUCCUGCACACUACUGUACCUAUGAGUCAUUUCUAAUGGACAUUCAGGUGUGUCUCAACUCUACUGACUCAGGUUUUGGUCUGGUUUAGGAUUGAUUCCAUAACCACAUGGUAAGAUUAGACCAUUUCUUCUUUCUUGCAUCACAUUACUGUAUUCAGUGUUCAAAGAAACGGACAAUCUAGCGAGUUCUAGUUCCUUUUAAUACACUUGACAGUGAAAAAUGCACAGUACAGGUGAGCAUUUAUGGUUUGUUUUAAUAUAA
Pelmatolapia mariae (spotted tilapia) is the source of this 1435-nucleotide long non-coding RNA. RefSeq lists it as uncharacterized. The transcript is spliced from 3 exons. NCBI's taxonomy places the organism in Eukaryota, Metazoa, Chordata, Actinopteri, Cichliformes, Cichlidae. The record is from RefSeq and is a predicted model, not a curated record.